UCAAGCAGAAUCUUUGCACACUGUGUCAUAAGUGGGACGGGUAAAACAUUCUUGUGCUGAGCGCGCUUGAUUCCUAACCCACUAAUUUAAGGGUGGAACUAUUUCUGGAAAUGUUGUGAGCCUGUGUGCUGAAGAACCUCUUAUUCUGUGAGUGCAAAGGCACUAAUGUUUUGAUACAAAUCGUCUGUGCUCAGAUGUUUUCCAUACCCUUGGACAGAAACAAAACAGCACAAUUUUAGAAAGAAAUGAUGCUACUGACUGUUGGAGAGGAAAUACCCAAGGACACAAGGGCAGUUCACUGAACAGACACUCUCUCUGCAACAAUGAGAAGAGGAAGGAGAAGUGGAGGCAGAUACUGCAGGAAGGAAGAGACAGUGGCUGGGCAGAAGAGAAUUCAGUUAACAAAAAGAACUGAACCACCAGUGGCUGAAACUCCUUCUUGCUCUUGGGAGGAUCCAAAGGGCCAGAGCUGAGCCUUGGAUCACUUGGUCCCCCAGAUCUCUCAGGUGCUAUGACUGAGGUGUACUCAGUCCCCAGUUGUCCUUGCUUCCAACAUUGGAUGCUUUGUGUGCUUGAAGAGGGACUCUGAGAUGGGAGAAGAAAACUUUUCCUUAAUACUACCAGGAGUUAAUUAGCAGGGCCAAAAUCACUACCUGAGUCUUUCCACUGGAAGCUUCUGCAUGGUUCCUGCCUCCCACUGCCCACAACUCAGCACCUCACCGAGCCUCAUCAGUAAUUCAUACUUUAUUUCUGGAAAUGUUCCAUAUGUUUUAUGGCGUGCAGUGAUUUAAAAGUAAACAACAGUUUAGUAAGAAGAUACGGUAGAGCAUUGAGAACCCAAAUGUCUCAGUGUACUGCUUUUAAGUCUUAGAAAGAAUUCUGAAGGGUUUUAGUAUUGUUUUCAGAUUAUGUCAGCCUCCUGGAUGGAGGAGUUCAAUGACUGCAACAUCACCCACUCUGCAACUGCUUUGCCAUGAAAAGAAAUGCUUACCAUUUCCAUCAUUGAUGUUUUUUUUUAGCCAGGAAACCUACAUUGGGUUGACAGGUAGAGAUGGGAUGUCUGUUAGUCAAAUUCUGUGUGCCUCAGUAUCUCAGAAAGAACUGUUUGAGAGAAAGCAGAAACUUUUUGCAACCAGCUUUAAUCUCAGCAUAGCUGUACUUUUCUCAAGAUGAUUAAGUCUUCCUUAGUUCCUUGCAUUUUCCUGUUCUUCUUGUAAUCCAGUUGGAAUGGUUGAAGCAGGCUCAGGGCUCCUGUAAGUUGAUCUGACUGGAUUUCUUUGCUGAAAGGGUUCCUUAGGAUUUUCACACAGAGCUUUAUCCCAGGAGUACUAAAUGUUUUGGUCAUGCUUAUUAUGUCAUCCACUCCCUCUGAGACGGCUGAGUGCCUGCAGGCACUCAGGGUUUUGCUGUGGAUGUUGAAAAGCCCUCAUAAAGCUGUGCGAUACUGUAGCAGCAUCCAGACUGUCUGGAAAGGCUAAAGAGCAACUUCUAUGUUUUAUAUUUUCAGGUUUAUAAUUAAAUAUUCAUAAAAUGACUAGACUGAAAGGUAAAAGAAGGGAAAUGUCAUUUACUGGUGCACCUCAGUGAAGCUGGGAAUACUGAAAUCACAGCAUAUGUUUUCUCUCUUCUUAAAGACAGUAGAUUAUUACAAGCGGACUUUAUUGUGGUCUAUAAUUCUGAUUUUCUACUUCUGUCUAUGCCAAACAACAUUUUUUGUUUUGUUCAAACAGCAAUGAAGAGUGGUAUGUUAUCAAGCCACAGUGCUGUGACCUUUGGACUUAAAAUGAAUAUUCUAGCUACUUGGAGCCAACACAUAUAUUAAAUUCUAAGGUUGGAGGGAGGAUGAAAAACAGAGGACAUGCAUUUUAAGAUGUCUUGCAACCCCAAAGCUCAGUUCUUCAUUUCUCCUCAAGAUUUAUUGAUUUUGGUGGAUGACUACAGAUUUUACAAGGAUGUUAUGCCAAGGGCAUUCCAUUUAUUUUAGUAAACAGCCAGACAGCUAAAUUUCUAAACAGCUGUCUGGAACUGGAUGAACACAUGGACUCAACGUGUCUUAAAGAAAUAAUAAUGAUUUUAAUCUUGUUUCUUCCAGUAUAGGUAUGAUAUAAAUAACCUUUUUUUUUUUUUUUUUUUUUUCAUCUUUACAUACAUGGAGCAGAAAGAAACCAUGCAUGAAGCAUUUUUCUGAAAGAAAAUAUUAAGUCCUAUGUUCAGUAGAACCAAAUGCUUCAGUUUACUAAUGCAUUUCUUUCCCAAGAGAAUGCCUAACAAUGCUGCAGAACUUUAAUACAAAAUGUUUAAUAUUAAAAAAAAUAAACAACAAAAAAAACCCAAAAAUCCUCUGAAACAAAUCUUGAUUCUUAAAUAUGCUGUAACUUGACAUCGGCUCUGCUUUUUUUCAGCCUCUUUCCUUAUUGCAAAAGAAGAAAAAAGUAACAUCCAUUGUUUUCCAAAUACAAUCUAUUGAUUUAACUGCGUUAGGUGAAGGCCAGACGUCUCAUUAGGUUAGGUACAUGGCAUUCUUUCUUCUGUUGUCCCUGGAAGCAAUAUAUCUAGGAAGUACUACUUUCAUCAGUAUAAAGACUCCAGUUCUUAAUAUCCUGAUAACAUUAAAGGUGAGUGAAGCACUGAAAAUUUUCGAACUAUCAGAAAACAAUGAAUAAUUGAAAGCAAACACAGACCAGUGCACUUUUAAACAUUGAGCAAGUAACUGAAUACCAGGGCCACAAGUACUAUAUUAAAGGUAGAUUGAAAUGGGCUUUGAACCAAGCAGGUUGAGGCAGUUAUUUAACAAGUAUUUUUGUGUUGGGAUGGGCAUAUACAGUCACUAUCUGUCUAACUCUUGCUAUGCAUGUUGUGCCAGCACAAUAAUUUCUUUUUUUUUUUUUUGAGCAGGAGGGAAGGAGGAGAUAGACUGAACUAUAUUUCAGUUAGAUUAGUUUCCCAUUACAUCCCUCUGUGUAGUAGUACAAGCAUUUGCCACAGAAUAAUCUAAGGGCUGGCACUGGCAAGAAUACACAGCUAGAAAAAGAGGAAAUUGCUUAAACAGGACUCCAAGAACCACGAAAAUAUCAGGUUGGUAAAGGCUUUACAGAUUCCAGUACCAACACUCCCGAUUUGGGCUAGAGAAGAAGCAGUGUUACCAUUAAAAAUACAUCCCAAAACUUCAUAUUAAAUCUAUUCUUAUGAGUAUGGCUGACUGCAUCUCUCUGUGAAGUUUGACAGCUAUCUACUCUAUUACACACAGACACAUCUGAAGAAUAAAACCAAAAUCAUUAUAACAACAUAACCAAAAUACUGGUUCUCACUGUAGUGAAUACAGAGAAAGGCACCACCCAAAGCCUGCUUUUGAGGACCUAAGGUUUAAAUGGCCACCUGUAGUUGCUUAUUAAAAGGCACAUAUUUAAAAGGUUACAUCUUGUAGCCAUUCACAAAAUUCCCUAUAUUUUGACAGUGUUCCUAAAUUACGUGCAAUGUACAAACCAAACUACGUAAUUCCCCACUACAGGUUUGUUCUUGUUCCUGAUGAUAGCAAAAUAGCCCCACUCUACAAUACAGAAGGACAUAGGCCUACAAUGAGAGAUAAGCAAGAAGACAGCUUAGUCAAAAAUCAUACAGAUUCUUGUUAGUAUGGUAGUGAAGUCUAGGCAACUAACUAAUCCUUCUGGCUUAAACAUGGUUUUGAAGUAUUUCUGUGUACAUCAUAAUAUCUUUUGUUGUGUUUCCCUGUGCUGACUGCUGAGACUAGUCAACAAAGAAAGGUUUCGGUUAGUGUCAAUUGUGAUAGGGGUUUUGGGAAACGUGAUUAUUAAUUAGUAUUUAUGUGGGCCUGUGUGUAGAUCUGCUCCUCCUAAUGAGAAAAUCUGAUUUUCAUAUCUGAAGUGAGCUUUAGUGUGUAUUGUUAUCUAAUUUUACUUUAAGACUGAAAUCUAUGGAUGUGAAAGUUAAAUGUUUGGAAAUUAAAAUACAGCUGUCUCUACUAUAAUCACAGAACUGGAUAGAGAAAUAUUUUCAUUAAUUCCUGAUCUGCCUGUUUUGAUAGAAGCUCAGUUGUCUGAUAAGGCAGUGAGACAAAUUAAAUCCUGCUCCAGGCAGUACACAGACCACAUGACUCAAAAAGAGAAAUUAAAAACUGUUGAACAUCUGUUAUUACUGCAAAUUUAAUCUGUAGAACAACUUCAUUAUUUUACCUCACAUAUUUAACUUUAUUAUUGAGGAAAAGGAGCAUCUUGUGGUUAGAACAUUGUUUUUGGGGAAAAAAAAUCUCUUCUUUAUUCUCCUAUUUGCCAUUGAUUCCUGAGUGACUUUACACAAAUACAUUAGUCUCUUUGUACCUUAGAUUUCCUGUCAGCAAAACGGGAAUAUUAUUGCUGCUUGCUUCAUGAGGUGCUGGGAAUAUUAAUUAGUUUCAAAUUUUCCUCAUCUGGAAAUGGCACAAACUACUUCUCUCUCUGAAAGGACUUCGAGACUAAUGAUCAAGAGUACUGCGUAUGGAGCCAAGCAUUAUUUUUUGAUGGUAUAGAGAAUAGUUAUAGGAGAAGCUUCGAAUGUGACAUAAAUCAUAUAAUAUAUUUCACUGCCAUGAACAGUGUGUCUUUUAACCGUAUUUGACCACAAACUUACUUUAAAUAAUGUAAUUAAUACAAAAUGUCUUAGCUUUAUUGAAUGUUUUCAGUGUGGAUUAUCAUAACCUAUGACAUAUUGGAACAUAAUUUCUGCAGUAUUGCAUGUGGUUUACUUUUCUCAAUAAAGGAUAUUAAUAAUGAAAAAUAGUGGCACAAUACAUAGAAAUUUAACGUACCUCUCAAGAGUUCUGUUGUCUAGUUUACUCUACAUACAAAGAGUUGAUUGCCUGCAGUCUUGAUCACACAAAGCUUCGAGUGAGACUCAUUGAGGAACAAAGCGUAUUAGCAGUGGUGCUCUCUAUUGCUGUCAGAACUUGUUCUACUGUUUUUACACAGUGCUCAGCCAAGCUGAGUUGAUACACCAUUUAAAGUUGGCACUAGUUGAGGUGUUUCUGCACCAGGUGCCAUUGCAUGUUGUAGACAAGUACCCCAAGUACUCCAUGGCAAGGAGGAGCAAAGCAAUGCAGUUGCAGUGGGAUGAGAAGGAAGAAAAAUUUUUGAGCUGAAAACGCACAGAAUCUUUUAAUGGUUAAUUAAAGUCAUCAAACACCAUCCCCACUAUACUCAAAAUGCAUACAAAUAUGCUGCUUUUUUGACACGUUUCCUUUGAGUGCAAACUUGAGCUGUAGCUGAGCAGCACCCUUCAGAGGAUUCUCACACAGGUAGAAUGCACUCUUUCAGUGCAGUUAAAUGGAGUUAAGCUAUGACUCCAUCCAGUAUAGAAAAUAUUGAUUCCCAUUUUGUAGCACAGAAUUAUUGUAGAGUGAAUCCACCCAUAGGUACCAAUCAAAAAAUGAAACUAUCUGGGAGGGGAAAAAAAAAAAAAAAAAGACAUUCCAAAGAUGUAAAGGAAACCAAACAAGGCAUAAAUAUGAAAGAAAGAAAAAAAAGUAAAAUUUAGGAAGUGGUAUAAAAUAAUAAUGUGCAAUUGUAACAUGAAUGGAGAAAUAGUCUUCAGUCUUGAUGAAGAGUACAAAUUUAAUGUACUACCCUAUUGACUACAUUUGUUUGAAUUGACUUGAUAUGAUUAAAUCCCGCUAUAUUUCAGCUCUGUGUUACACAUGGUAUGGAAGUGCUAUCAAAACAAUGUGAAUGCCAAUAAAGAGAAAUCUGGUUUGGAAGAUAGGAGACUAGAUGCUUUACAGAAACAAAGACCAUGAUUAAUCAGAAUCACAGCAAGCAGGUUUAAAUAAUCUGUCCAGUAAAACAUACAAUAAUGAUACAUAAUUUAUAUAAAAUCUAAAGAAAGGGUAAGCUAUAAAUGAUAUUGCAAAAUAGCAGAUACGAAUAUUCACAGAAAAGACCACUUUCUACUCCAUGUAUUUGCCCUGUAACCACUAGGACAUAGUUGUCCAAAUGAAACUGGUAGAAAGGCUACUGUAGAUAUCUACACAAUGAGAUGUGGCCUUGCAAAAGAGAAGACAUGACUUCCAAGAAACGGUCUUUCAUAAAACUUAAGGAUGGGUUCUGAGAUAUUUCUCUGAGUAAAAUAAAAUUGCAUCGGUCUGAUUCCCUUUGUGGUUUACCUUAAUAGAUAUAUAUUGUCUUUCUCAAAAUACAACUCUGCAGAAUAUUAUAUAGAAUUUCAUAAUGGUGUCAUCAGCUGGAGAAUACAGGAGCACAGGGGAUAACAUUUCUGGAACAAAUCAUCAUUCUCAAAGGAUGAGUAAGGCAUUAUGAUGAGUCUACAGUGCAUUUAGGUUUUAGUGCUGCUUUCAAAAGGAAACCUACAGUGAACUCCUUGUUUCAAAUGAAUUAACUACCCUCUCACAGUCUUGUCUUUUCUUUUCUUUCUUUCUUUUUUUUUUUUUUUUUUUUUCUCUCAAAAUGUGGACAUGAAUCAAACUCUGGAGGUGUAAUAAAGAACUGGCAACUUUUUCUUCCUUCCUACCCUCUGGCCCCAAUCUGCCUUUUAUUUUUUUGAUAUUCUCCGAACUUCAGUCACCAUAAGGACAUUUCUGUAUUAACAGAACUUUUGACAAUAAGCAAUAUCUCACAUCGUGCUUCUUUACUAACCAUCUCAGCCACUUGCAAGCAGAACUAAAUUAUAUCCUCUGCCUCAGCAAGAACCAGAUACUUUCCAUUCCUACCUCCCCACUGAAUGAAAUGAAAUGUUUCCUAGUCAGUGAAAAAAAUCGUAGAUGUAAGCAUUUAUACUGUACCUGUAAAAACAUUUAUCGUCUGAACUAUAUAAUAAUUAAUUUUCACCGUAUCUCCAUAAAUCCCUUUGCUCUCUGUGAACUUGUUUUAUGAAAUAAAAUUAAAGUGAUCAUCCCUUUUCAAUGGCUACACUCACUAUUUUUCUUUUUAUGAGCUUUUAAGGAGUCUGGUAAUUAUUUAGCCAUCCAUAAGAGUGAUAGCUGAUCCAAAAUAAAAUAGAAGGGAAAAGGCCAACUAUUUCAGGAAGACUUAAAAGCUUUUUCAACUUAAUUCCUGAUAUAUUAGCUGCUAAAUUACCAAAACCUGCUACAAUAAAAAGACGGAGGUGCAGAAAAAGCAUUCUUUAUGCGACAUGCUGUGACAUUCUUGUCAGAGCCUACUUUGUCCACAGUUUCUUGACCAUUCAAAGCCUCUGGUGUCUCACCUAUCCACAUCUGUUCUGAAGUCAGUUUUCUUUCUAUUCUUGUACUCUUUAUAUCACACAAACCCAUUUGAAAGCAGUCCUUUAUUUUCAAUCCUGAUGUCCCCACCACUGUGUUAUAACACUGACUUCUCCGUUGGCAGCUAAUGGAGCACACCUCCACCAGACAUACCAACUCUGAUGCUAAAUUGACCUUGGGCAUCUCUUGCUAAAGCAGUGAGCAGUAAUAGCUUAAUAUCUUUAAAUCUUUACAGCUUUAGCAGGAAAGAAUAAUCUUUGUUUUUCUAAGACAUCCUAAAUACAGUAGUGCUGGUGCUUACCUGUAUACAUAGUUACAUUUACUGACAAAUUAUAAGAGGAGUUGCUUGUUAGCUAUGCUAAUUUAUUUUUUUGUGAAGCGCUUUGCUCAGUAGUGUACAGGAAAUCAACACAGAUAGACACAUAAGCCACAGCCUCUGCUUUUGCAGGCAUUCCAAAAUCAAUCGGGAAGGCUGCAAUCAUUGCUUCUUUAUCUUCCUUCUCUCACGUGAUUCAAAAUAAUGCCUGUAUUUUGCCACACAAUGUACAGGAACUGGUUAGCCAUGGUGGCCUGUUCCUUCAGCAUCUGCUCCUUUGGGAGCACCCUGUAGUGAAAGUAGCAGACCAGUUUUUAACCUAUUGACAUUAGGAACAGUUUCUCCCUCUCUUGAUACUGUGUCAGGAGCCCUUCAGAGACAGAGUACAUAUUGGGAGGAUGAAGAGGACUCUGGAAGAGCACAAGAAGGGCUGUAGCUUUGACUGGUUGAACCUACCCAGAUACAUGUCCUGGAACUUUAGUGAAAGUGGGUUUUGGCUAAGAGAUGUAUCUCUGUGCUUUUUGCCUGUGUAUGAAUUAGCAGAGAUCUGCCUUGUACUGGUAUUUUAUGUACUCUGGGAAAUAAAAGUAAAAAGCAUUUGUUAAAAAGAUAAUAUUUUCUAGGAUUUGAGACAGUUUCUGACCCAGUUUUAUCCUAACACAAUAUAAAGUUGCCUACUAGCAAAUGACUAGCUAUGGUAACUGGGAGGGGGCCAAGAAUGGCCAGUUUUUUCUAUACACUGGAAAAAGUAAUUGUAUAUCUCAUAAAAACAAUGUUUAUGCACUUAAAUAUCUUUUUCUCUCUAUCGGAAGUGUUCACAUAUCUUAAUUUGUUUCUUCACGAAUUACAAAGUACAACUCUCUAGUGACUGGCUUCAGCUUUUGAGCUUGUGUUGUACUAUCAUGAUACUGCAGCUUUGAAUCUUCUUCUCUGGUGUUUAUGUCCAGGAAUGUUUCAGGCUAACCUUCAGCUCUGACUGAAACUCUAGAAAUAUUUCACUGGACAAUAAACCUUUUCCUUUACUUCUUAACUGUGGUGUUUCACUAAAAUAUGUUAGCAAAACAUGUUCAAAUUCUCAAUCUAUGCUAUUGUUUAUUCCCAAACAGUUAAGAUCACGGCUUUUAGAACAAAUAUUAUGGAAAUUUUUCUGGCCAUCCAUUAAAGAGGUGAAGAUGAGUAAAGAAAUAUCAGCUAAGUGAUACUGUGGACUAAAUUUCAAAUACCAGAGUCAGUUAUUCCCUUUUAGAGAAACUUAUGCUACAAACAUACAAGAUGAAAUUAAAGAAAUGGGUGAUGAUGAUAAAUUUCACCACAUGGAAAAAUAAAACCCUAUAAAAAUUCAAUAUAAAUUCUAUCUGAUGUAGACUCCAGACAGAUAUUACUGUUCAGUGGAUGCCACAUCAAAGCUAUAGAAACAGCUUUGCUUCCAUUAACAUUUUUUUAGAUCUAUGAAACCACUUAUUUCCUCCCUAAAACUGAAGCAUUUUUGUGUCAUCCAAAUCCUUUUUGGAGGCACAGACAUUUUCUGUGUUUGUUCAACUUUUUGUAGUUCAGAUUAAGUAUUGCCACCCAUUGUAUGUCACAGUAUAUAAUAACAUAUUCCUCUCUCAGAUUUCACUUUCUGCACAUUUUUCUCUGAAGUGAAUCUGUUUUAACAUAAUUAACUCAAAAAGAGAUUUAGUACAGAGGCAAGUUAUAUAAAGGAGUGGUUGGUUAUUAAAAAUGACAGGCAAGUCCUGAUACAUGUGCUUCCAAGCAGCAACUCUACAUAAAAUCUUGUAUAAUUAUAAUAACACAGGGUUGUAUCACCCAUAGCUAUCCAUCACUCAAAAAAUAUUUUAACUGUGUCAUCAACUUAAAAUGACAAUGACGCCUAUUUUCAACCCUGUGCAAUAUAUUCAGUAUUGCACAUGAAAGAGAAAAGAAGCAUUUGGGCACUUCCAAAAGAAGUUACCCCAAUUGAAUUUUCACCUCACAGGAAAAAAAAAAAAUCCCCUUUGCCAGAUUACUGCAGAAUGCAUCUUUAACCAGCUAUCAAAUUAAACACACACUAUCAAGUUUUACUUCAGGUUCCUUAGAAUGUUCCCAACUCAAACGCAGCUGACUGCCAUUCACCUCUUGGAAAAGAGUUACUCUUUUUCCUCAAAUGUCUUUGCCAUGAAUCACAGGUGAAUAUUCACAACUGCUAUUUGUUUUGAAAUCAGAGAAUGUUUCUCUACUGAGCUCUACGUGAAGUAGUUCAAAUAGUCUCUAAUAUGAGCGACAUGUAAGCUAAUUUACUACUGCAGGCCUGACGCUUCAGUUACCAGGGCUUCACAGCUGUAGGAAAUCUAGCAUACUUUAGGGUUGGCUAAAUAAAUCAGUUUAAACACAUCAUCAUUAUUUAUUUGAUGUUCUCUCUUAUUUUCCUCAUUAUACAUUUUAAACACAAAGUUAAAGACUAGUUAACAAAACUUUGUAGGAUGUGGGCCUGACUGCUUGUAUGUACCAUUUGUAGUUAUAGGCUAAAUAGAAUCCCUACAAAAAAAUGGAGAAAGAAAAAUCUCUGUAGGCAUGAGACAGGCAUGAGAAACAACAUUACUGAAGUAGUAGACAGAAAAAAAAGUCCCAAUGAACCCCAAGAAAGUGAUCUGUUGUGUUUUAAGCCUGAGGGCAAUUAAUUCAUUAGAACAAUUUUACUAAGGACAUAGUUCAUUAACACUUGAAGUGUUAAGACCAGAAUAUAUUUCUGCAACACAUGUUUUAUCUCAGCCAACAAUUAUGGGCUAAACAUACUGUGGAGUUCACAUGAAGUGAGUUUAUCACCUUUUUUGUGUCAAAGAUCACAUUCUUUGACCUUCCUGGCCCUAAUAUUUCUAUAGUUUUAAGUACAAUUUUCUUUAAAAGGACACUAGUCUCUUAACUAAAAUGUUAUUUGGUAGCUUUUGUAGCUUUGUGCAUAAUACACUUUCUGACAAAACCGUUAUAGCCAUAAGGAAAUUUGGAUAUACUUUUCAGUCCACUUUACAAUUUAGAAAGCUGAUUUUAUCAUUAUUUAGAUACCUAAUGAGGGACAUUUGAAUCACUUAUGCUCAUUGCUUAUUAAUCACUAAAGAAGCUGGAGUUUUUUUUUUUUUUUAAGUUGGCCUAUGAAGGGACAAAAGUCUAAGCCCAUGCAACUAUCCUAAUCUUUCAAAAAGACUGGUUACAUUUAAAUCCCUUGCUUUACACCCCUAUCUAUAUACAGGUAAAAUCCUAUAUGUUUUUCUCUCCAUAGUUUUCAUUAUACUAUGCUGAAGAAAUCAAAGAGGGGUAGAACUUCCGGGUCACAGUAGGAUGAAAAAAAGGUAGCAAUUGGUGUCGCCCAUUUCCAAAUAAUUUUUUCCUUGCAAAAGAUUUGUCUCUUUUUCUCAGUACACUUCAUAUUUUCUCUGUCUUGCCAGAAAUAAAAACAAAUACACCUGGGGUGGAAAAACUUGUGUAUAAAUACAGGAAAAAGGGAUACCCUUUGGCAGUUCAUGAGGAAGGUCAGACUGAGGCUAAAUAAACAGGAUACUUUUCUCUUCCACUCAAAACAUCAAUUCCUAAGUGUGUUAUGCCUUAAUAAAAUUAAAGAGUGAAUUCUGUAUUAGUCCCUCAACAUCCUAAUUUUAGAAAAUCUCAUUUCUCCUGGGGUUCUCAUCAGUUCCUCCAGCUGAUACACUACAAAUGAAACUAACCUAGGAAGUUCUUUUCAGUGUUUUUACUCAUGCUAUUUAGUUUUCAAAAUGUGACUGUUUCCUUAAUUACCAAAACAAUGUGGAUCACAACCUUUUAAAAGAAAAGUAACGUACCCUUCCUCUUGGUUGGAGCGGGAAGGAAGCAAACUCUUAAAAUGUGAUCUGCAAGUAUCUGGACAUUAUAAGACAAGGGAGAAUAGUUUACAAAUUCAUAUUUUAGAAAUCUGUUAAUUGCUGAGAUCUGGAUCAUGAUGUCUGCAUGGUCAGUGUUGGUAACACACAGAGUAGGUUAAAUCUUGUGCUGGGUCUGGCUUUCUACAUAGCAGCCUGUAUGGUGCUUUGGUUUGGUUUUGUGACUAAAUCAAUGUUAGCACACCAGUGUUUUCGCAUCCAGAUUUUCUCUCUUUCUCACUCUGCUCCUGCAGUUAGUGGGCUGUAGUCUGGGGAUGGAAAAAGAGGUUGGUAGCAGACGCAGGCAGGGCAGCAAAUGUGAGCUGACCAAAGACGUGUUCCACACCAUAUGAUAUCAUGCUCAGAAAUAAAAGCUCAAGGAAAGGAGGAGGAAGCAGGGAUAUUUGUGGUAUUGGUGUUUGUCUUCCCAAGCAACCACUACAUGUGCUGAGGCCCUGCUUUCUGGGAGGCGGCCAAACAUCUGCCUGUCAAUGGGAAGCAGUGAAUAAAUUGCUCUUUGCUUUGCUUACAUGCUCAGGUUUUACUUCAUCUGUUAAAAUGUCUUUCUCUUGACCUAUGCGUUUCUUGCUUUUGGUAUUCCUAUUCUGCCCACCUUUCCACUAGGGCAUGGGAGAGGAGUGAGCGAGCAGCUGUGUGGGUGCUUGGCUGCUGGUUAGAGUCAACCAGCCACAGCCCCCACUUUGAUUUAACUGUCUCCUCAAAUUGACUUUAUCCAAAGUCUCACUAUUCUAUUGGUUAUUUUCACUUUCCCUAAAUCAGGCUGAUUUAUGAACAAUUGUUGCACGGAAUCAAACCUACCAUCUCAGGGAGGCUCUGAAAACUAUCUGCAAAGUCACAGACCUGCUACCAUUUCAGGUGUGUCCUGCAACACAGUUGUCCUCUUGUGACCCAAGUUGCAUUGCAUGUUCUUUAUUCACUUAGAGGGAGUACACAGGGAAGCAAUGGAUUUCCAACUCUUACGAGAUACUACUUGCAUUGUAAAUUUAGUCAUAUUCUUAAAACUACUCUGCACAAAUUUUGUCCCCUGUCUUAAAUAAAUGUUGCUUUUUGGAAACCAUUUUUAUGAUAACAUUAAAUUACAGUUGUUUAAAUUUGAGAAAUAGAAGUGCAUGACUGCAUCAAUCAAAUUCAAUUUCUGUUAAGGACAGUUCAUGAGCAGUAAGGUUUUACUAAAUCUUAAAGAGCUAUUCCUGAAAUUAUUCAGUGUCUUUGAACUAUUUUUUUUUUAAUUGUAUUUGCAAUGUCCUUUUCAUACUUAAAUAUGGAGAAUACUGCAUGAAAUGCUUAUUGUAUAUGUAUUUUCUAUUGUAUAUUCAAAAUCUGCAAGUAUAUGCAAAAGAGAAGGAUAUAAAUAUUAGUAAUACAAGGAAACUCCUAAACAAGAGUGGAUAAAAACAGCUUUUAAGAAAAUGGCUUAAUGUCUUUUGUUAAAAAAUUUUUUUUCAGUUUCUUCCUUUGAUCAUAUUACACAUACAGACAUACUGCACUGUACUCUUUGGUUUGAUGCAUUCUAAACUUUGAGGACCUAAGAGCCAGGAAAACGGAAAAAGAAGUGAUUUACUGACAUGACUUCAGUGUUCUUAGAAGCCAGCAAACAACUUAUGGCUGAAGAGUGCUGACAUGCAGUAAUUGCUCAACAGAGACACUUUUGAUGUGGAGAGAAUCUGCUUUUAAGGCAGUGGGAGAAAGACAGUGCAAAUACCACUUGUGCUUGGUGGAUUUUCUAGUGGUUGGCUACCUACUGGACAUUGCCGACACCAUCAAAGCCACUGAGACCCGCUAGUCACUUCCCCAGAGAAAUACAGGCAAUCGACACCUACUUUUCACAAUAAUCUUCUGAGGUGGGGUUUAACUCAGGAAAAGUUGCUUAAGGAAACAGUGGUCAGCUUGGGGGAAAUACCAGCCUUCUUACAAACAUCAAACAACCUUAGAAAAUCUAGAGGGACCUUCUUUUUUGUGGGAACAUGCUUUCUUCUAUGCUGAGCUUAUUAGAGAAUUAAAGCCAAAGGACAUAAACCUUUAUUUACCAGAGGGUGCAGCUCCAGGGGCAGCGCCAUCUAAGUUAGCAGAGCUGGUUUUCAUGUGAGAGUUCUUAAAAGUAAGUAUUUGUCAAAACACUCCUGGUUUUGAAUGAGCUCUGUCAAUCAGAACUCCUUUGGCUUCAAACAAUACAAGCAGGAACUGCUCUAUUACCAUCAGUAAAACUUGUAGCUAUGCAUAAGACACAAAAAUAAGGUUUGGAAAGUACAAAUACAAAAUUCUAAACACUGCUUAGGAAAAAAAAAACAAACCGUCACAUAUAGUAAUCAAAUAGAAAUCAGCAUUUAAUAAUACAGGACACUUUUGCAGAUGGUGGCAGAUACAAUCUUUCAAAAGUACAUUAAUUUGAUUUUUCCGAUCUGACACAGUACUCUUGCCCUCUUCCCUCUAUCAGUUGAUUAAACAUAAAAAUGAGAGAAAAUUAAAAUCUGCUGUGACCUGAAACACAUCGGCAACUGAUGUGACACUGAAACAGCUAGAAACAUAGUCUCGUAUUUUUUGUAGACAUAGUUUUGAAUGAUAUCUUAUUCUGAUAGCUCUAUUUAUGAAAAUAAUAGGAUAAACCCGGUAAGGAAUGGUGAUUUAGUGCAUUAUCUUUAAAGCAUACGUUGAGAGAGCUGAAAAAACUAGAAUACUUCUCAAUAGUACUAUUAUACUAAACAAAAAUCAGACUGAAAAUGAGUUACAUAUUUCUUCAUAUAGAAAAAUAAUUUGGUGGUAAACAAGCAUGGAUAAAGUCUGAUUUUUGACAUCAGUGUCCUUUUUGAUAUAACAGAAACAGACUUCAUUGAGUUUUUCACUUGUUUAAAAAAGAAAGCCAUAUGGAUCUCAGCACUGGAUCUUAUAUUUUACUUCAUAUGUAUUUGGACAUUAUUCUGCCAUCCUUAUUUUUUCUAAUUGUAUCAUUCUAAAUAUGCUUCUUAAUUAGUAACAAACAACAUGAUUGAAUACAAAAUACCUGAGUGUGAUUUGUUUUAGAUAAUACUCAUACCAAUUUCUGAAUGGGAUUUAAGGCUAUACUUACUUGUUUUGUAGAUCUGUACUUUGAACUAGAUGUUAACUUGAAGAAGAAGGUUUACCUAAAAGUAACCUUGUUAUAACAGAGACUGUACUAAGUUUGUGGUGACUUGCCUGUGUGUUGUUUAUAUACUGUGGCUUUCUACUCACAUAAGCCUUUGGGAAAGGAAACUCCAACCUGCCAGACAAAAGUUAAAAGUACUGAGGAACCGUGUGCUAAUAGCUAAGUUAGUUUUUAGUUACAUACUCCACAAACACACAUUUUCCUUUUACAAUAUGUAUCAUAUGGCUAUCAAAUGUACUUAUUGUGUUUUUUGACAACUGCAAGAAUGGCUGGGUACUGGAUAAUCAAGGAAACUUGCGAUACACGUUCACUUGUGCAAAAUGCUGCCUUCGUGGAAACUAUCACAGCCAUGCCUUGAAUCUGCAAACAUUGCCACUUAAAAAAAUCAAGAUGUGACACUUUAGCUAAAGAAACACAGCACAAUACUGGGGCUGGUGCUCCUAUCUUUCAUUCUUCCACAUGGGAUGAGUAGCAUCUGGCCUUUUGCCUUCCAAGAAAUCAAAAUAUUCCUAGUAUAUCUUUAAAAAGUUCCAGGAUCAAAGGAAAGUCAAAUCCAAUGUGGUUUAAAGCUUGUGAAACUCUGGAACAUCUUUGGGGUUCACAGAACUUGUUUUAGCUUGAGAAACAUUUUUCCUUUAAUUAAAACCCAUAUUUCCCAGCCAGGGUAAUUCAAUUUUAUAUUCAGCUAAAGUGAGAGAGUGCUGUGUGUUAGCAUAAUCUAAAACACACACAACUGAAUGGGAACAGAAAACUGGAUGCUAAAAUGUCUUCAGACAUAAAAAAGCAAAUUACUCAUUAAGAAGAAAAGUGAAAGAGCAACUAAAAAGGCAGAACAAGACUAGACUACUCUUGCAACAAAAUCAUGAAGCAGAAGUGUGAAGUCAUUAACUUCCCUUAAUAAGCAGUGUUGCCAUAUUUGGGUGCUGAUGUUCAACUAGAGGAAAACGUCAUAGAAUUUUAUAGACCCAUAUAAGUUCACAUCUGCUGAAAGCCGCUUCUGAAAACACAGCUAAUUUCUCACAUUUUUAUUUUUGGGAGGAGGCGAGUGAGCAGAUUUCAGAGGGGGAAAAAAAAGUGGAAGAAGGGAUUAACUCACGAAGUUAAACAGGCAAUGGCAUGCUUAAGUUACACUCAACUGAACUGGAGCAAUGUCAUAAAUUAAGAAAAAGGGAAAGGCAAGUCAGAAUAUUCUUACUCAGAGAUGUAACCAGUUGUGGCAUACUGUCUUCUAGUUCACUCCAAGAGCUGAAACAGCAGUUACUUGCUCAUAUACCAGUUGCACUUGAAACUUCCUGCUUACAUGUAUCAUUCCAUGGACCUCACACUAGACUCAACUAACUUCAUUGGUCUCCUUUUAUAGGAAGAACAGAAGUAGGAUAUUAUUCCUGACUAAUGUCACAAAAAAAUGUUCUCACAUGUGUGGCAAAUUUCGUAUUUACUUUACCUGGAUAACUGAUAGCUAAGUGAAGUAUGAUAGGGAAAAAUUAUUUUUUAGAAAUGUGAAGAAUUAAGGAGAUUUGCAACUGAUCUGAUUUAUAACUUAAAAAAAACCAUAAUCUGAGUCAACUAGAAGCUUUUGGCUUUAAUUUGCCUGCCAUGAGGAACAGAGACUAUCAAUAAAUAUAAGGGGAAAUGACAGACCUAAUGACCCCUAACACCACUCAAGGCUACCUCUGGAGAUAGAAAAAGUAUUCGGAAGAGGACAACUAAAUUGCUUUUAACAGGUUAGAGAAAUCCACCUGGAGUGAUAGAUUUCUCACUGUAAAAAGUCAGUUUGAGAGAGAGUGAGAGGUGAAAAUUCAAAGAGAUGUCCAGUCAUGAAAAUGUGAGUGUGGAAAACUGGGAAAACUUUUGGGAUUAUUCUAAGGCAUUAUAGCUGUGCUGACAAAACACUUAAUAUCUGGCUAGAUAGAUUUGCAUUUGGCAGUGCAAAAAAUGUGCUGCAAUAAGAUUCAGAUAGGAGAAGAACAAAAACCUUGACUAUUCUAGAUAUACUGCUACACGUUUAAGUUUAAGCCGACCUCGAACCAGAGAAACAAAUAGACAAAAAACUGCCUUUAUUACUGAAAAUUUACCUUGGGCACUGCCCUGGGAAGUGUUUUUAAGAGUAUCCUGUAGGGUACUUCCCUUCAAUGUUUUAAAAACUUUUUGUUGGCCCAACAGACCACUGUUAGCUCUGAGCAUUUAUUGCAGAACACACUGUACUCUUACCACCAUUUUUACUUCUUCAUAAGUUUCAGAGUAGGAAUUAUCCAUAAAGGUAUGCAAACUACAGCUGAGACAGUGUUUGGGAGCCUUUGUUUUGUUUCACCAGUGCCUGUGGCAAUUCUCACAGUUGCUCCUUUCUAAACAAAAGAGGAUAUCAUGGAGUAAAAUUAUAAUGUCUGUACUACUGGAGUAAAGUAGUCUUUUUUCACCAUCUUCCCGUCUACGGCCAAACCACUAAGCUGUAUUUUAAAAACUUAUUUAGAAAUCUGAAUCUGGAUGGAGAUGAAAAAGUAAAGUAAAUCUUAGGUAAGGAAACAGCAUUUGAGUUACUCAACUUGUGCUAGGUUCACCCUUAUUUGUUAUUAUUAAAUUAACUCUAAGCUGAAGAGAAGAGGAAAGCUAUAAUCAGUUGCUCUUAGCUCAGGCUUGAAAACUGUAGCCAAAGUUUUUUUAAUAUUCAGGAUUCCUUUACCUAAUUGUAACCCCACAUUGACAACUAUACUUCAAGAAAUGCUAAGAACUUGCUUUUGUAGCAAAACUGCUAAUAGGUUUUGAGAACGUUUUUAUUUAUUUAUUUAUUUAUUUUACUGUAAUAUAUUCAUUUUAAGAAGUGAAAACGUCUCAGCUCAGAUUUCCAGUGGUAUAGUGUCUUAGAACGAAUCACAGCACCUUUCAGUAUUAAGGCGUGAUUACUCCUGCAACACAAAUGGUUGAUUUGUAAGUUUUUUCUAGGCACCAUGAGACAACAUCCCCAAGGCUGGUUGCAAAACUUGCUAUAAAAGUUUGGUUGCCAACCGGCUGCUUGGUAUCUUGUUUCUAGGGGCAUGGGAACUGUAGGCUAGCUUAGUUUUCAUCCCUAUCCUCUCCUCCAAGGUCAUUAUGAACAAGAUUUCCAAUGUUAUCCAUCAUCACUUACAUGGGGGAAACUGAAUCUGUUUCCUUUUUAUAAGAAUUACUGUUGCACUGAAGGCCUUGCACUAGAGAAGAAGGCAAGUAGGCUUUAUCCAAUAGAGUCCUGUUCAUGGCUGUGCUAUUCACUGUUUCUUAGCUCUGAAUACUCAACUUCUUCAUGCAGAGUUGUUAUUUAUGGUCAACACAUAACAUUUUAUCUCUUCUGAAAAGUCGACUUAAAUUUGUCAAAGUGCUCAGCUGUUCUGUAAAUAUUUAUGUUUCUUGUAACGGUAAUGGUCACAGACACGGAAUAUGCAACACACAUCUACAAUAUUUUGUUUUGACAUGCCAUUCCAGUGGAGAUAUUAAGUGAUAGAACUUGCUUGACACAGCAUAAUUAGUAAUCUUGCUCAUAUAUUUUGCUUCUUUUUACUGCUAAGAAAGCUAACAGUGCAAACCCAAUUAUUUUUUCUAGAAGUAAUAACAACUCUAAAUCCAAGGUUUCUCAUCAUCUGUGCUGUACAAGGAUAACGUGGUAGCUCCACAAUUGUUUUCCUACUGGGAUCUUAUAUUGGCUGGUUGCCUGAUUGCUUCUCUGUAGUUGUUUGAGUAUGUGUAGAUUUACAUUUUUUAAAAAGGAGAAAAAAGAAAAAACAACUACUCAGUUUCAAAGCUUACGGCCAGAUGUUGUCAGGUCCCAUUCGGGUACUUCUGCAGGGGCGAGUCGAAGGCAGAGCGAAGUGUUUUCCUGACUCACAUUGCCUUGCGAAUGCGCUCACUAGGAUCAUAUUCUUUACUCCCUCUAGAAAUGUUCAUCUGCUCCAAUUUAGCACCAGCCCUAAUCUUCCAAUGUGGGAAGCAGCUGGGUGGAGGUUCAGUUAUGCUUGUGCCUCUAUGCUCGCUAGUACUGUUAGGAGAGACUGAACUUGUGUUUUUGCAUUUUAAAAGUUAAUAGAAGCAGAAACCCAUUGUGGAGUUGCUUGUAGUUUUGGAAAUAAUUCUUUCAGGCAUGUUACUACAACAAGAGUCCUCUCUGUCAGCCCCACUUCUCUAACACAAUGUAACAAUGAAGGUGUUACUGAAAGUCCAAGGUGUUACUGAAAAUUUGGUCAAAAACUCAGCAGCAUUGGGAAAACAGAUUGCCGUGAAACACUUUUUAAUUACUCUCUUGAUACAGUUGUUUAUAGGGGAGCAAAAGAGACCCCUAUGUCACAGAAUAAAGAAGAUACAUUCUCCUGAAAAAACAUGCAUGUAGUGAACAUUUUAGGGUCUGUGUUUGCAUACACAGCUAAUGAUGGAUGCAGUCCUGAUCUGAAGUAGACAGCUAUUUUUGGGUGCUCUGGGCUCUCUAUAUUUUCCUCUGGUAAAUAUUUACCUCUAAGUGGAAGAUUCUUUGCAUGUGAGAAUAACUGCCUGCAAAUGCAGUUGAAAACGUAACUUUGAAUCCAUAGGUGCAAAAAACAAAGACUUUGUUCAUGUCAAGAAUCUGCUGAAUACUCUAUUAUCCAUCUGCCCAUGUGUAAUUUAAUCUGGCACCAUUUCCAGUGAUGUCAUGCCUGGAACGUCCAGCUCUGUGGAGAGGUACUCGCUGGGACAGAGCUGCUGCGUGAGGCAGAGAGAUUAACAGAUGUGGUAACUCACUCUUGGAAUGGAGUUCAUAUCAAGUUGCAUAUUUGAGUAAAGACAGUUUCUGUUCCUUAAGCCAUGUAGUUUUUGAGUAGGCAUAUGUUCAAAAGACAGGUAGGUGAUGAAAUCUAUAGCCAGUUCUUUUGGCUGAAUAUCGUAAUUUUAAGGAAAAAGUAUUCCAUUAAGUUAUUUCAUGUCAUUUCUAGGCAGCUGACCUUCCAAAUGUGGGAUAAGGAGUGUCUGGCAAAAUCUAUUCCACAUUGAUAAAAUUCUGCUGCAUUUUGAGUCAUCUCUCACUAGAGUUAAGAAAAGCUGUGGUCAGUUUUAGCACCAUGUGUAGCUAGGUGGCACAGUCAUCACUCAAGAGAUAAUGAGUGAUGGUAAUGGCUGACUGCUUAUUAGUCAGGAUCUCCCUAUUAAAAGAUGGUCCUGCUGCAACAGAUUUUGACCAUCUUCAAUGCAAUAAGGUUUGUAAAGAAGUUUUCAUAUGUUAAAUUGUUGGGGCUACACGUCCAUAAGAGUCCUGGUAUCUUUACUAGCACUGCCGAAUACUUCGUUUUGUGAGCUUACCUAUUAAUCAUAGAAUCAUAGAAUGGUUGGGUUGGAAGGGACCUUAAAUAUGAUCUAGUUCCAAACCCCCUGCCAUGGGCAGGAACACCUUCCACUAGGCCAGGUUGCUCAAAGCCCCAUCCAACCUGGCCUUGAACACUUCCAGGGAUGGGGAUCCAUAACUACUCUGGGCAACCUGUUCUAGUGCCUCAGCACCCUCAGGGUGAAGAAUUUCUCCAUUAUAUCUAACCUAAAUCUACACUCUUUCAGUUUAAAGCCAUUACCCCUUGCCCUAUCACUACAUAUCCUUGUAAAAUGUCCCUCUUAACUUUCCUGUAGGCCCCUUUAUGUACUGGACUGCUGCUUUAAGGUCUUCCUGGACCUUUCUCUUCUCCAGGCUGGACAACCCCAACUCUCUUAGCCUGUUUUCAUAAAAGAGGUGCUCCAGCCCUCUGGUCAUUUUUGUUUCUCUCUUCUGGACUUGCUAUUAAGGGCAAAAAAAACCAAAGCAGCCACAUAAAUCAAAUACUGCACACACACACAAAGAAAAAACAUUUUUCUGUUCCUCCUCUCUCCAGCUUUAAUGAGGCAUUCAUGCUCCCCACACUUUGGGUUUUGUAAAUAAUAGCCACUACUUUCUUAUGUGUAAGCAACAUCAGCAAAGUAUUUCUCCUUUAAAGUAGGAAACUACUAAAUUUGUCUACUCAAACCAUCCAAAACACUACGUUCUUUUAAUACAAUAUUAUCAACUCAAUGUAAUUUUAACUAAAUAUUACUGGCAUCAAUAAAGAAAUACAACUGCUUGUUGUAAGUCACUAUUAUCCAGCUUGCUGAAUGGAACUCACUAUUUGACAAGGCAACUUCUGCUGCGCCCAAAAUCUAAAACUGUAAAGGAGGUGAAAUAAGAAACUUUCUACGUGUUUUUGUUUUGUUUUGUUUUGUUUUUUGGUGUUGUUUUGUUUUGUUGUUGUGUUUUUGUUUUUUUUUUUUUUUUUUUUUGUUCCUUUUUCUUUUUCUGUAAGAAACUUUCACACUUGAACUUGGAAAAUUAUUCUAUUUUGAUGAAGACCUCUACGGAAUAACAUUGUGUUUGAAAGUGCUUUCCACAUAAGAAGUACUCAAAGGCUUGCUUUGAACCAAGGCAUAAGGACGCAGCACACUUUGCCCUCUAAUUUAGCUUCUGAGUGGAACAUAUCCCAACUCCUGUCUGGCCUACAUUCCCAGGUUCGUUUUCAUAGCCUUUCACAUGUGUAGUGCAAAGAGACAAGCUGAGGCACAGUUCUUGACUCACGUUUUUAAAACCACUUCUGGCUCCAUAGAGGCAAAACCAAAGUUUCAUUCACAGAUCACUCUUCCAAAAGCAAGACCUCACACUGAAACUAUCUAAAAAUAUUGCUUUGUAAUGCAGCAAUAGGGCAGCCUCAAUGAAAAGCUCCCCUUACAGUUUUCGUCCAAAGGCUUCAUAGAUGCAGAUAUCCAGUGGGUUGCAAUUCCAAAUUUCCUGCACUAUUUGACAAUUAUGAAGCAAACUGAUAGUAAUUAUUGAUUCACACAGACUCCCAGACCUCAAAAUCUGUAACUUACACUGGAUGAUGAAGCGUAACUGUCAUGAUAGUAAAACAGAUCAAUACCUCCACUCAUCAGUUAACCUGCCUUCAAUAGUAAAUGAUGGCAAAUAAUCUAGAAAACAACAUGAAAAGCACUGAAAAAUACUUAAGUAGUUAUAUUAUACAAUACUAAUAUGUUUCUUUUUUACUUCACCUGAUCAUUGUUUAACCUCUGGAUUCUGUGCUGACUCAUCCUUGAUUAUAUGGAAGCAAUAGGAACGUCUACUCUACAUGCAAAUAUCCAGUUGCCAUGCAAGUAGACUUGCAAACCCAAGUUAGCAUUAAUUUAACCUCCAGAUUCUCAGUGAAGCAUAAUCAAGGUAGAAAACUUCUAAGUACUCAUCCAAAAUUGCAGCUAAGCACAGACUGUGAAGCCUACAUUGAAAGCACACAGGCUGUCUUGUUGAAAAAUUAGCUCAAGGACACGCCUGAUAUGUCCUUUACCUCAGAAAGAACAUAAAUGGAAGUUGUUAAUGCAAUUACAUUUAAAUUCAGUUGAGAACUGCAAAAGCAUCAUUGUCUAUCUCUUUAUCUAUUGUUUAGAAAAAAGGGCCAUCAACAAAUUAUACUGGAAUUCUUAUGUAUUACGUAUAAAAGCAAUGAUUUACAAUGUCUAUCUGCUAAAUAAAGAAGAAAUCUAAAAUCUUAGACUCACAUUAAGGAGGAUUGUUUAUCACAACCUGAAUGGAAGUGGACAAUCUGAAUAAAUUUCUCUAACAGUUCCACGAGAUAGUGUAAAGUUUUGGUUUUUUUUAAUAAAAAUUGGACUUCCACUAGAAAAUACCUAUUUAAUACCUUUUUUUUUUUUUUUUUCCUUUCACAUUUACAACUGGAAUUUGAAGCUACAAUUCAGGAUUACCUCUAAAUGCUUGGAUAAGUAAGAGAAAUCUAUCCAAGAACAGCUGAAGGAUCAUCUAAAGUGUAUGUACUUUUGGAUGCUGUCCAGGCAUUAGGAAGAACUUUUGUGGACUGGAUUCAGCUGUUCUGAGUUCCCUUAAGAUGUCAGUGCUAAGCAGUUGAUUUGUAACCUAGAAGCCAAUGAAGAGUACAGCCCAUUAGAAAACAGCUGAUUUCUCAUCAACAUCACAUUUUCAAGGGAUUCUGCAGUGAUCAUAACGUAAACGUUGUCUUUUGUAAAACUUUCUAAGAACACAAAUUUAGGAAAAUGUAUAUUUAUGUGUUAGAAAUAGAUGUUAAUUAUGAUCACUGUAGAGCCUAUUCAAGCCAUGACCUUUUUCUUGUUCAAUAUUGGGAAUGAAACCACUUGCUUCAUUCCUAUUCCCAACAUUUUGGAUUGCAUUGUAAAAGCCAGAAUCUGGAGUCCUGGUUACUCCUGAAGUACAAGUGCUGAGUGAAUUUCCUAGUCCAUGUUUUUCUUGGAGAAUAUUGGGAAAAAUAUUGUU
This is a long non-coding RNA of Columba livia (rock pigeon), 22836 nucleotides long. RefSeq lists it as uncharacterized. The record is from RefSeq and is a predicted model, not a curated record. The transcript is spliced from 6 exons. NCBI's taxonomy places the organism in Eukaryota, Metazoa, Chordata, Aves, Columbiformes, Columbidae.